GUAACGCGUAUCCAACCUUCCGUACACUCAGGGAUAGCCUUUCGAAAGAAAGAUUAAUACCUGAUGGUAUGAUGAGAUUGCAUGAUAGCAUCAUUAAAGAUUUAUCGGUGUACGUUGGGGAUGCGUUCCAUUAGGUAGUAGGCGGGGUAACGGCCCACCUAGCCAACGAUGGAUAGGGGUUCUGAGAGGAAGGUCCCCCACAUUGGAACUGAGACACGGUCCAAACUCCUACGGGAGGCAGCAGUGAGGAAUAUUGGUCAAUGGACGAGAGUCUGAACCAGCCAAGUAGCGUGAAGGAUGAAGGUCCUACGGAUUGUAAACUUCUUUUAUAAGGGAAUAAACCCUCCCACGUGUGGGAGCUUGUAUGUACCUUAUGAAUAAGCAUCGGCUAACUCCGUGCCAGCAGCCGCGGUAAUACGGAGGAUGCGAGCGUUAUCCGGAUUUAUUGGGUUUAAAGGGAGCGCAGACGGGUCGUUAAGUCAGCUGUGAAAGUUUGGGGCUCAACCUUAAAAUUGCAGUUGAUACUGGCGUCCUUGAGUGCGGUUGAGGUGUGCGGAAUUCGUGGUGUAGCGGUGAAAUGCUUAGAUAUCACGAAGAACUCCGAUUGCGAAGGCAGCACACUAA
Molecule: ribosomal RNA, 624 nt
Filed under: uncultured bacterium
Lineage: Bacteria
Description: bacterial SSU rRNA
Rfam family: Bacterial small subunit ribosomal RNA
Source: RNAcentral